Molecule: non-coding RNA, 29 nt
Filed under: Mus musculus (house mouse)
Lineage: Eukaryota; Metazoa; Chordata; Mammalia; Rodentia; Muridae
Source: RNAcentral
UCAGCAAAGAUGUUCCUUAUUUCAACCGA